This is a non-coding RNA of Potamilus streckersoni, 73 nucleotides long. The record is from the annotation of a GenBank genome assembly. NCBI's taxonomy places the organism in Eukaryota, Metazoa, Mollusca, Bivalvia, Unionida, Unionidae.
GCUCCAGUUGCCUAGUGGUUAGAGCGUCCGCUCCGGAUGCGGGAGGUCGUGGGUUCGAACUCUGACCGAGUCA